UACGUGCCAGCAGCCGCGGUAAUACGUAGGGUGCGAGCGUUAAUCGGAAUUACUGGGCGUAAAGCGUGCGCAGGCGGUUAUAUAAGACAGAUGUGAAAUCCCCGGGCUCAACCUGGGAACUGCAUUUGUGACUGUAUAGCUAGAGUACGGCAGAGGGGGAUGGAAUUCCGCGUGUAGCAGUGAAAUGCGUAGAUAUGCGGAGGAACACCGAUGGCGAAGGCAAUCCCCUGGGCCUGUACUGACGCUCAUGCACGAAAGCGUGGGGAGCAAACAGGAUUAGAUACCCUGGUAGUCCACGCCCUAAACGAUGUCAACUGGUUGUUGGGUCUUCACUGACUCAGUAACGAAGCUAACGCGUGAAGUUGACCGCCUGGGGAGUACGGCCGCAAGGUUGAAACUCAAAUGAAUUGACGGA
Molecule: ribosomal RNA, 415 nt
Filed under: uncultured bacterium
Lineage: Bacteria
Description: bacterial SSU rRNA
Rfam family: Bacterial small subunit ribosomal RNA
Source: RNAcentral